AAUUCUCAACUGCUUUAGCUGUUUACAGGUUAAAGUGAGGUUGGACUAUGGAGGUUGAUUGCUGGCGUAAGUCCUGACUUACUUGUUGGCUCCUCUUAAAUGGAUAAGCUUUUCCAGUAGAUAAAGGUUAAAGUUUACAUCAAUGUGAUAAUUAUUUUGCAUUGGGUGCACUUUUUCCCUACAGAAAAGAUGGCAUUGCCUCUACUAUUAUUAUGACAA
RNAcentral lists this unclassified non-coding RNA (219 nucleotides) under uncultured Agaricomycetes. RNAcentral describes it as "sequence contains ITS2". The record is from RNAcentral. Lineage: Eukaryota; Fungi; Basidiomycota; Agaricomycetes.